RNAcentral lists this ribosomal RNA (643 nucleotides) under uncultured Acidobacteriota bacterium. Its description in RNAcentral is "SSU rRNA". It matches the Rfam family "Bacterial small subunit ribosomal RNA", at positions 268 to 915 of the family's 1533-position model. The record is from RNAcentral. Lineage: Bacteria; Pseudomonadati; Acidobacteriota.
CCAAGGCUUUGAUCGUUAGCUGGUUUGAGAGGAUGGCCAGCCACACUGGAACUGAGACACGGUCCAGACUCCUACGGGAGGCAGCAGUGGGGAAUCUUGCACAAUGGGCGAAAGCCUGAUGCAGCGACGCCGCGUGGGGGAUGAAGCAUCUCGGUGUGUAAACCCCUUUCGACCCGGAAGAAUGCCUCGCAAGAGGACUGACGGUACGGGUAUAAGAAGCCCCGGCUAACUACGUGCCAGCAGCCGCGGUAAGACGUAGGGGGCCAGCGUUGUUCGGAAUUACUGGGUGUAAAGGGUUCGUAGGCGGUGUGGCAAGUUGGGAGUGAAAUCUCUGGGCUCAACCCAGAGGCUGCUUCCAAAACUGCUGUGCUUGAGUGUGGGAGAGGCGCGUGGAAUUGCAGGUGUAGCGGUGAAAUGCGUAGAUAUCUGCAGGAACACCCGUGGCGAAAGCGGCGCGCUGGACCACUACUGACGCUGAGGAACGAAAGCUAGGGGAGCAAACAGGAUUAGAUACCCUGGUAGUCCUAGCCCUAAACGAUCAGGACUUGGGGUGCCGCCCGUUCGGGCGUCGUCCCGGAGCUAACGCGUUAAGUCCUGCACCUGGGGAGUACGGUCGCAAGACUGAAACUCAAAGGAAUUGACG